GAAAUUAGAUACAGAUUACACAAGUCGUAACGAGGAAGAAGUACAAAGAUGAACAUUAUUUAAGAGAGAUACAUAGGCAUUAUACUCAUUUCUUAUGUAUUAAAUAGUUUUUGGGUAUGUUUCUAAAGUGCAUUCCAUGUGGUGUUUUUUUUUUAUAAUUUCAGCCACUAUUUGGGGUAUAUUACCAAAACUCCCAAAUUAAAAUUAGGAAUCUCAAUCCCCAAUUUCCAAGAUUUUUUUUUUUCUACGUAUCAUUUAAUAAGUUCCGUACUUAAGUUGCCAAACAAUGGAUUACAUACAUACUAUUGGAAGUAUUGGUGGCUAGGUGGCUGCUAGCCGUGAUUAGCUAUUGGUGGCUGUCCCAUUUACACGUUUGUUUCCCUUAAUUGAGGGUGACUUAAUCUUGUUACUUGUAAUUAGAGUUUCCCUAUAAUUAGGGAUUAAAUCACGAAAAUUAAGGUUGUGGCGUGUUGACCAACAGCUCUUAGACUGGCCAAUGGUUCUUAACCCGGUCAGUGGAUAUUAGCCUUCCCCAACUUAUGCAUAUAUACCUUUGUAAUCUUGUAAAGAAGAUAUAAUUAGAAAACAUAUUCUCCCCAUCAUUUUCCACACAUAUUUUUAACAAUCCUCAGAAGAGGUUAAAGCAAAUCCUCCAUCAUCCAUCCAAACAAGAUAAAGCUAAUCUAGCAACAGCAUGUGUGGUGCUCUAUUUUGCACGACUACAAAAAAGCAAAAAGACGACGGUAAAUCACCGUCGUGUAUUCGGUUUUUCAAUGGUCGUGGAAUCCAUCGUCAUC
RNAcentral lists this long non-coding RNA (797 nucleotides) under Prunus persica (peach). RNAcentral's name for it is "long non-coding RNA (PPER_LNC007572)". The record is from RNAcentral. Lineage: Eukaryota; Viridiplantae; Streptophyta; Magnoliopsida; Rosales; Rosaceae.